UCAUAUGUACCUGUCUAUAGUGUUAAUUCACUAUAUCCCAUUAGAACUAUGUAUUUAAGCAUGCUUGGGCUAGGGUAGUAUUGGGAUGGGUGACCUCCUGGUAAUUCAUGAUCUUUUACAUGCC
Non-coding RNA from Picea glauca (white spruce), 124 nucleotides. The record is from Rfam. Lineage: Eukaryota; Viridiplantae; Streptophyta; Pinopsida; Pinales; Pinaceae.